This 252-nucleotide ribosomal RNA is filed under the name uncultured bacterium. RNAcentral describes it as "partial 16S ribosomal RNA". It matches the Rfam family "Bacterial small subunit ribosomal RNA", at positions 524 to 776 of the family's 1533-position model. The record is from RNAcentral.
UACGUAGGGUGCAAGCGUUAAUCGGAAUUACUGGGCGUAAAGCGUGCGCAGGCGGCUUUGCAAGACAGAUGUGAAAUCCCCGGGCUUAACCUGGGAACUGCAUUUGUGACUGCAUGGCUGGAGUGCGGCAGAGGGGGAUGGAAUUCCGCGUGUAGCAGUGAAAUGCGUAGAUAUGCGGAGGAACACCGAUGGCGAAGGCAUCCCCUGGGCCUGCACUGACGCUCAUGCACGAAAGCGUGGGGAGCAAACAGG